Non-coding RNA from Acanthosepion pharaonis, 98 nucleotides. The record is from the annotation of a GenBank genome assembly. NCBI's taxonomy places the organism in Eukaryota, Metazoa, Mollusca, Cephalopoda, Sepiida, Sepiidae.
UGUUGAAACACUAAUUCCCGUACGAUCAAUAAAGUUAAGCAACGUCGAGCCUGGUCUUUACCUAGAUAGGUGACCGCUUGGAAAUACCAGGUGCUGUG